GAGGAAUCUUCAUUUCCGAGGAGAAGAAAAUGGGAUAAAAGAAUGCUAGAGUUUGUUCUCGCAACUUCAGAUAAACCUCUUAUUUGGUGUGGUGAUCUUAAUGUAAGUCAUGAGGAUAUUGAUGUAAGUCAUCCAGAAUUUUUCAGUGCAGCCAAGCUCAAUGGAUACACUCCACCAAACAAAGAGGAUUGUGGUCAACCUGGGUUUACCCUGGCUGAAAGGACG
This 225-nucleotide unclassified non-coding RNA is filed under the name Hevea brasiliensis (rubber tree). The record is from RNAcentral. Lineage: Eukaryota; Viridiplantae; Streptophyta; Magnoliopsida; Malpighiales; Euphorbiaceae.